UAGGUAAGUAGAUAUUGCUCAUCCCUAAAUCCGAUUCAGUUCAUUUUCGGUUUUUGUGCGCAUCGGAGUUACCUAUAUACCAAUUUCGAGGCGUUCCGACAUAAAUUAAAAACUAAUUUAUAGUAAAAGACGCGCUGCAGUCAACCUAAAUAUAUGUAUAUAUGUAUUUUAGCUGCAAAAAACGAGCACAAACAACAAGAAGCGGCUACCAAGUGAUUACGAAUUUCAAAACAAACAGCGAAUG
This is a long non-coding RNA of Drosophila navojoa, 244 nucleotides long. NCBI's taxonomy places the organism in Eukaryota, Metazoa, Arthropoda, Insecta, Diptera, Drosophilidae. The record is from RefSeq and is a predicted model, not a curated record.